UUAAGCUAAGAAGAGCGUAGGGAGAAUGCCUUGGCAUUAGGAGCCGACGAAGGACGUGAUAAGCUGCGAUAAGCUGCGGGGAUCAGCAAGUAUGAAUUGAUCCGCAGAUUUCCGAAUGGAGCAAUCCGUAUGUGUAUGCACAUACAUCAUAUACUGAAUCAAAUAGGUAUAUGAGGGGAACCGCCUGAACUGAAACAUCUAAGUAGGGCGAGGAAGAGAAAUCAACCGAGAUUCUGUGAGUAGUGGCGAGCGAAAGCGGAAGAGGCUAAACCAUAGGUAGCAAUACUUAUGGGGUUUCGGACAGCAUUUAGUAUUGAUAAUUUCUAGUUGAAACGUGUGGGAAAACGUACCGAAGAGUGUGAGAGUCACGUAAGCGAAAGAGAGAAUCAGCGAGCUGUAUCCAAAGUACCGCGGGACACGUGAAACCCCGUGGGAAGAUGGGGGGACCAUCCUCCAAGCCUAAAUACUACCUAAUGACCGAUAGCGAAUAGUACUGUGAAGGAACGGUGAAAAGAACCCCGGGAGGGGAGUGAAAAAGAACCUGAAACCCUAUGCUUACAAGCACCGAGAGCACGUCAAAGUGUGAUCGGGUACCUUUUGUAGAAUGGUCCGGCGAGUUAUUGUAUGCGGCAAGGUUAAGUGCUUAAGGCACGGAGCCGAAGCGAGAGCAAGUCUGAAUAGGGCGAAAAAGUCGUAUGCAAUAGACCCGAAACCGAGUGACCUAUCCAUGUCCAGGCUGAAGUGGAGGUAAAACUCCAUGGAGGGCCGAACACACGUCCGUUGAAAAGGCCGGUGAUGAGGUGUGGAUAGCGGAGAAAUUCCAAUCGAACUCGGAUAUAGCUGGUUCUCUCCGAAAUAGCUUUAGGGCUAGCCUCGUGAAAGAUUACUGGAGGUAAAGCACUGAAUGGGCUAGGGGUCGAAAGAUUACUGAACCCUAUCAAACUAAGAAUGCCAGAUAAUUGAUUCACGGGAGUCAGACAAUGUGAGAUAAGUCUCAUUGUCAAAAGGGAAACAGCCCAGACCCACAGCUAAGGUCCCUAAACAUUGUUAAGUGGAAAAGGAUGUGGGGUUGCAUAAACAACCAGGAUGUUGGCUUAGAAGCAGCCACUCAUUAAAAGAGUGCGUAAUAGCUCACUGGUCGAGUGACCCUGCGCCGAAAAUUCAACGGGGCUAAACAAUGUACCGAAGCUUGGGAUUCUAAAGAAAUUUAGAGUGGUAGGAGAGCGUCGAAUAAGGGGUGAAGUCAGAGCGGAAGCGCUGGUGGACUUUAUUCGAGUGAGAAUGCCGGAAUGAGUAGCGAGAAUUAUGUGAGAAUCAUAAUGGCCGAAAAUCUAAGGUUUCCUGAGGAAGGUUCGUCCGCUCAGGGUAAGCCGGGAGCUAAGGUGAGGCGGAAACGCGUAGCCGAUGCACAUACGGUAGAGAUUCCGUAGCCUCCGAAAAGUAAAGCACAGGGACGCUUCAGAAGUGUUACGCCGGGCGAUGGUUGCCCCGGUUGUAAAGGACACAAUUGAGUGGAAGGUAACAUGGAUGGAGACAAGAAAAGCUGUGUGUAUCUGGAAGGAGCCCGUACCGCAAACCGACACAGGUAGAUAGGAAGAAGAUUCUAAGGCCAGCGGGAGAAGGGUUGUUAAGGAACUCGGCAAGUUGACCCCGUAACUUCGGGAGAAGGGGUGCUUACGAAGGUAAGCCGCAGAGAAUAGGCCCAAGCGACUGUUUAGCAAAAACACAGCUCUAUGCUAAAUCGAAAGAUGACGUAUAUGGGGUGACACCUGCCCGGUGCUGGAAGGUUAAGAGGAGAUGUGAGAGCAUUGAAUUGAAGCCCCAGUAAACGGCGGCCGUAACUAUAACGGUCCUAAGGUAGCGAAAUUCCUUGUCAGGUAAGUUCUGACCCGC
RNAcentral lists this ribosomal RNA (1893 nucleotides) under human gut metagenome. RNAcentral describes it as "bacterial LSU rRNA". It matches the Rfam family "Bacterial large subunit ribosomal RNA", at positions 3 to 1991 of the family's 2925-position model. The record is from RNAcentral.